UACGUAGGGUGCAAGCGUCAAUCGGAAUUACUGGGCGUAAAGCGUGCGCAGGCGGUUUGAAAAGUCAGAUGUGAAAUCCCCGGGCUCAACCUGGGAACUGCGUUUGAAACUCUCAAGCUAGAAUAUGUCAGAGGGGGGUAGAAUUCCACGUGUAGCAGUGAAAUGCGUAGAGAUGUGGAGGAAUACCAAUGGCGAAGGCAGCCCCCUGGGAUAAUAUUGACGCUCAUGCACGAAAGCGUGGGGAGCAAACAGG
Molecule: ribosomal RNA, 253 nt
Filed under: uncultured bacterium
Lineage: Bacteria
Description: partial 16S ribosomal RNA
Rfam family: Bacterial small subunit ribosomal RNA
Source: RNAcentral